GACGAACGCUGGCGGCGUGCUUAACACAUGCAAGUCGAACGGAAAGGCCCUGCUUUUGUGGGGUGCUCGAGUGGCGAACGGGUGAGUAACACGUGAGUAACCUGCCCUUGACUUUGGGAUAACUUCAGGAAACUGGGGCUAAUACCGGAUAGGAGCUCCUGCUGCAUGGUGGGGGUUGGAAAGUUUCGGCGGUUGGGGAUGGACUCGCGGCUUAUCAGCUUGUUGGUGGGGUAGUGGCUUACCAAGGCUUUGACGGGUAGCCGGCCUGAGAGGGUGACCGGCAACAUUGGGACGGAGAUACGGCCCAGACUCCUACGGGAGGCAGCAGUGGGGAAUUUUGCACAAUGGGCGGAAGCCUGAUGCAGCAACGCCGCGUGCGGGAUGACGGCCUUCGGGUGGUAAACCGCUUUCGCCUGUGACGAAGCGUGAGUGACGGUAAUGGGUAAAGAAGCACCGGCUAACUACGUG
This 468-nucleotide ribosomal RNA is filed under the name uncultured bacterium. RNAcentral's name for it is "partial 16S ribosomal RNA". It matches the Rfam family "Bacterial small subunit ribosomal RNA", at positions 28 to 507 of the family's 1533-position model. The record is from RNAcentral.